This is a long non-coding RNA of Acanthochromis polyacanthus (spiny chromis), 258 nucleotides long. RefSeq lists it as uncharacterized. The record is from RefSeq and is a predicted model, not a curated record. The transcript has 3 exons. NCBI's taxonomy places the organism in Eukaryota, Metazoa, Chordata, Actinopteri, Pomacentridae.
AAGGAGUCAUAGUUCCACUAAUCAGGAGGUCUAGAAGGAGUCAUAGUUCCACUAAUCAGGAGGUCUGGAAGGAGUCAUAGUUCCACUAAUCAGGAGGUCUAGAAGGAGUCAUAGUUCCACUAAUCAGGAGGUCUAGAAGGAGUCAUAGUUCCACUAAUCAGGAGGUCUAGAAGGAGUCAUAGUUCCACUAAUCAGGAGGUCUAGAAGGAGUCAUAGUUCCACUAAUCAGGAGGCACAGAAGGAGUCAUAGUUCCACUA